Sinocyclocheilus grahami is the source of this 359-nucleotide long non-coding RNA. RefSeq lists it as uncharacterized. The record is from RefSeq and is a predicted model, not a curated record. The transcript is spliced from 3 exons. Lineage: Eukaryota; Metazoa; Chordata; Actinopteri; Cypriniformes; Cyprinidae.
AGCUGUCAGUCAAGGUGCUUUAUCUGCAUCGGGGACCCCGGUGACUUACGAGAGUGCCCUGUGAUGUUUCUGGAAUGCUUCUGGGAAGUGACAACCCGACAUCCAAGGCUGCUGAUUAUCCCUUUUGCUUUCAAAGUGGAUUCUCAAACUCAUUGCUGCGACCCUCUGAAGUCAGACUGCAAAAUGCUUUUCAAAUGAAGGAACCCAACUCUCAUUUUUUUACCUUCCAAGGCAUCGAACCUCCUACCGUUUUAGAUCGCCAGCAUCGGCAGUAGCAAACAUUUGGAGUCCUCAGGAAGGGCCGGAUGGUCAGAUAACCCAACAGAGCCAAAAUCCCCAGUAAGGGCAGGAGCCGCAAC